Molecule: small nucleolar RNA, 89 nt
Filed under: Sphenodon punctatus (tuatara)
Lineage: Eukaryota; Metazoa; Chordata; Lepidosauria; Sphenodontia; Sphenodontidae
Description: Small nucleolar SNORD12/SNORD106 (ENSSPUG00000017995.1)
Rfam family: Small nucleolar SNORD12/SNORD106
About the family: This family belong to the C/D class of snoRNA which contain the C (UGAUGA) and D (CUGA) box motifs. This family includes the human ortholog of mouse snoRNA HBII-99 and human snoRNA U106.
Source: Rfam by way of RNAcentral
CCCGGUGCACGUGAUGACCACACUUUUUUCCCCAUCAGAUCGACCGUGUUGAUCUCGCUGCCAAGCCAGGCUGUGUCUGAUGCACCGGU